CCAAUAGCGUAUAUUAAAGUUGUUGCAGUUAAAAAGCUCGUAGUUGAAUUUCGGGAUUGGCGCAUCGGUCGUGCCUCACGGGGUAUGAACUGUUGCAGUCAAUUUCUCACCUUCUGGAGAACCGCGAUGUCCUUAAUUGGAUGCCGCGGGGAACCAGGACCUUUACUUUGAAAAAAUUAGAGUGUUUAAAGCAGGCAUUU
Molecule: ribosomal RNA, 200 nt
Filed under: uncultured Glomus
Lineage: Eukaryota; Fungi; Glomeromycota; Glomeromycetes; Glomerales; Glomeraceae
Description: partial small subunit ribosomal RNA
Rfam family: Eukaryotic small subunit ribosomal RNA
Source: RNAcentral